RNAcentral lists this transfer RNA (72 nucleotides) under Desmophyllum pertusum. RNAcentral describes it as "Lophelia pertusa tRNA". It matches the Rfam family "tRNA". From Rfam's summary of the family: Transfer RNA (tRNA) molecules are approximately 80 nucleotides in length. Their secondary structure includes four short double-helical elements and three loops (D, anti-codon, and T loops). Lineage: Eukaryota; Metazoa; Cnidaria; Anthozoa; Scleractinia; Caryophylliidae. The record is from Rfam by way of RNAcentral.
UCUCCUGUAGCUCAGUGGUAGAGAGUCCGACCGGUGUACGGAAGGUCAUAGGUUUGACUUCUGUGAGGAGAA